AUUGAACGCUGGCGGCAUGCCUUACACAUGCAAGUCGAACGGCAGCGCGGACUUCGGUCUGGCGGCGAGUGGCGAACGGGUGAGUAAUACAUCGGAACGUACCCUGUUGUGGGGGAUAACUAGUCGAAAGAUUAGCUAAUACCGCAUACGACCUGAGGGUGAAAGUGGGGGACCGCAAGGCCUCACGCAGCAGGAGCGGCCGAUGUCUGAUUAGCUAGUUGGUGGGGUAAAGGCCCACCAAGGCGACGAUCAGUAGCUAGUCUGAGAGGACGAUCAGCCACACUGGGACUGAGACACGGCCCAGACUCCUACGGGAGGCAGCAGUGGGGAAUUUUGGACAAUGGGGGCAACCCUGAUCCAGAAAUGCCGCGUGUGUGAAGAAGGCCUUCGGGUUGUAAAGCACUUUUGUCCGGAAAGAAAUCGCGCUGGUUAAUACCUGGCGUGGAUGACGGUACCGGAAGAAUAAGCACCGGCUAACUACGUG
This 484-nucleotide ribosomal RNA is filed under the name uncultured bacterium. RNAcentral's name for it is "partial 16S ribosomal RNA". It matches the Rfam family "Bacterial small subunit ribosomal RNA", at positions 30 to 507 of the family's 1533-position model. The record is from RNAcentral.